CUGGUUUUCAAUCCUUGAAAAUAACGGGAAUAUAAAAAGUGCACACGUUCCUUAAUAUUUUGUAAGUAUUUACCUACAGUCUCAACUACAGCUUGGCUUAGGGAACCUUCACAACAAGACAGUAAGGAAUAGCGGCAUUUUUAUCAAAGUGGGUCUACAUUAGUCCAAGGAAUUUAGUGACUCCUCUGAAAGCACCCCUCGGCUCUGUGGGGAUCAAGAGGAGCGAGAAGGGGGCGCAGUGCAUACUGGGUAUUGUAGUUCCUGCGCAAAGGAGGGGGGGCAUGGUGUUGCGUAGCACUCUGGGAGUUGAAGUCCACUUGUCCAGUGGGAGCUCAAAGAAGGCAUACUGUGAAUUGUCCGUCAGAGUCACCAGUUACAGGUUGAUGCUUUCUCUUGGCUCUGCGCUUGCCGUAUUGGUGGCCGAAGGGCUGGCGUGGCGAAGAGUGGGGAAAAAGAAUGAGGUGGAGCAUGGGUCUGUUGGUUGCAGAUAUUGCUACAACAAAUCAGAAGGCUUUCGUGCCCCGGAAGUGGCUGACCUACUCGGUUCGAAGGGGAGGCCUUUCCUCUUACUACGGUGGCCGGGGAGCUCGGGUCCCUGUGGCAGCGGCGCUGAGGUCGGAGCGGCUGCUUUUGGGGCGGCUUCUGCUAGAGCUGGAACACUUCCCGGUACCCUGAUUGAGGCCUCAUUUCCACUCAUUUGA
This 701-nucleotide long non-coding RNA is filed under the name Mustela putorius furo (domestic ferret). RNAcentral describes it as "lncRNA (ENSMPUG00000030994.1)". The record is from RNAcentral. Lineage: Eukaryota; Metazoa; Chordata; Mammalia; Carnivora; Mustelidae.